GAUGAAGAACGUAGCAAAAUGCGAUAAGUAAUGUGAAUUGCAGAAUUCAGUGAAUCAUCGAAUCUUUGAACGCACAUUGCGCCCGCCAGUAUUCUGGCGGGCAUGCCUGUUCGAGCGUCAUUUCAACCAUCAAGCCCCAGGCUUGUGUUGGGGACCUGCGGCUGCCGCAGGCCCUGAAAACCAGUGGCGGGCUCGCUAGUCACACCGAGCGUAGUAGCAUACACAUCGCUCAGGGCGUGCUGCGGGUUCCGGCCGUUAAACCCCUUUUUUACCCAAGGUUGACCUCGGAUCAGGUAGGAAGACCCGCUGAAUUUAAGCAUAUCAAUAAGCGGAGGA
RNAcentral lists this unclassified non-coding RNA (336 nucleotides) under soil metagenome. Its description in RNAcentral is "partial contains 5.8S ribosomal RNA, internal transcribed spacer 2, and large subunit ribosomal RNA". The stretch from base 1 to 120 matches the Rfam family "5.8S ribosomal RNA", at positions 35 to 154 of the family's 154-position model. The record is from RNAcentral.